CCUACGGGAGGCAGCAGUGAGGAAUAUUGGUCAAUGGACGAGAGUCUGAACCAGCCAAGUAGCGUGAAGGAUGACUGCCCUAUGGGUUGUAAACUUCUUUUAUAAAGGAAUAAAACGAGGCACGUGUGCCUUUUUGCAUGUACUUUAUGAAUAAGGCUCGGCUAACUCCGUGCCAGCAGCCGCGGUAAUACGGAGGAUCCGAGCGUUAUCCGGAUUUAUUGGGUUUCAAGGGAGCGUAGAUGGGUUGUUAAGUCAGUUGUGAAAGUUUGCGGCUCAACCGUAAAAUUGCAGUUGAUACUGGCAGUCGUGAGUACAGUUGAGGUAGGCGGAAUUCGUGGUGUAGCGGUGAAAUGCUUAGAUAUCACGAAGAACCCCGAUUGCGAAGGCAGCUUACUAAACUGUGACUGACAUUGAUGCUCGAAAGUGUGGGUAUCAAACAGGAUUAGAUACCCGAGUAGUC
This 460-nucleotide ribosomal RNA is filed under the name uncultured bacterium. RNAcentral's name for it is "partial 16S ribosomal RNA". It matches the Rfam family "Bacterial small subunit ribosomal RNA", at positions 338 to 795 of the family's 1533-position model. The record is from RNAcentral.